AUUAGGAAUCUUGCACAAUGGGGGCAACCCUGAUGCAGCGACGCCGCGUGCGGGAUGAAGGCCUUCGGGUCGUAAACCGCUUUUCUCGGGGAAGAAGGAUGUGACGGUACCCGAGGAAUAAGCCCCGGCUAACUACGUGCCAGCAGCCGCGGUAAUACGUAGGGGGCGAGCGUUGUCCGAAGUUACUGGGCGUAAAGCGCGCGUAGGCGGUCCCUUAAGUCUGGUGUGAAAGGUUCAGGGCUCAACCCGAACAGGGCACUGGAGACUGGGGGACUUGAGUGCGGGAGAGGAGAGCGGAAUUCCUGGUGUAGCGGUGAAAUGCGUAGAUAUCAGGAGGAACACCCGUGGCGAAGGCGGCUCUCUGGCCUGCAACUGACGCUGAGGUGCGAAAGCGUGGGGAGCGAACGG
This 408-nucleotide ribosomal RNA is filed under the name uncultured bacterium. Its description in RNAcentral is "bacterial SSU rRNA". It matches the Rfam family "Bacterial small subunit ribosomal RNA", at positions 354 to 775 of the family's 1533-position model. The record is from RNAcentral.